RNAcentral lists this ribosomal RNA (774 nucleotides) under uncultured Neocallimastigales. RNAcentral describes it as "partial large subunit ribosomal RNA". It matches the Rfam family "Eukaryotic large subunit ribosomal RNA", at positions 26 to 637 of the family's 3401-position model. The record is from RNAcentral. Lineage: Eukaryota; Fungi; Neocallimastigomycota; Neocallimastigomycetes; Neocallimastigales.
CGCAUCUGUGCAUGCAGCAUAUCAAUAAGCGGAGGAAAAGAAACUAACAAGGAUUCCCCUAGUAACGGCGAGUGAAGCGGGAAGAGCUCAAAUUUGAAAUCUUAAAGGGUUUCCCUUUACGAAUUGUAGUUUAAAGAAGUGUUUUCUGUUGAGGUUUUGGUAAAAGUUCUUUGGAAUAGGACAUCAUAGAGGGUGAGAAUCCCGUAUUUGACCUUUACUUUCAACUUUGUGAUACACUUUCAAAGAGUCGGAUUGUUUGGGAAUGCAGUCCAAAAUGGGUGGUAAAUUUCAUCUAAAGCUAAAUAUUGGCGAGAGACCGAUAGCGAACAAGUACCGUGAGGGAAAGAUGAAAAGAACUUUGAAAAGAGAGUUAAACAGUACGUGAAAUUGUCAAAAGGGAAGCGUUUGACACCAGUGUUGUUUUUCUGAAAAUCAAUUAAAGAACUGUUUAUGCUAAGUUGUUUAGACUUUAUCAGCUAACUGUUUAGUUUUGAGCUUUUCUUUAAUGCACUUUUCAGUUAACAAGUCAACAUCAAUUUCUUUUGCUGUAAAAAUGCUUGAGGAAGGUGGCUUGAGAUUCGUCUUAAGUGUUUAUAGCCUCUUGCCUAUGCAGUCGGAGAGAUUGAGGUCUGCAGCGCAGAUCCUUCGGGGCUAAAUGCAUUUGUGCUAAGUUAUAGCAUUUCAUAGACAACUUGUUGACUAUGAUUUGUCUUGUAGCUUACUCGCUUAUGUUAUUUUACCUACGCUUAGGAUGUUGACAGCAGUAUAGACUGU